This is a long non-coding RNA of Musa acuminata AAA Group (dessert banana), 1325 nucleotides long. RefSeq lists it as uncharacterized. The record is from RefSeq and is a predicted model, not a curated record. The transcript has 4 exons. NCBI's taxonomy places the organism in Eukaryota, Viridiplantae, Streptophyta, Magnoliopsida, Zingiberales, Musaceae.
AUUAAAGUUUUUCCUUUAAAAAAAAAAAGAAGUGCUUGUGUCGCAUUUAAAUUCGCAGCAACAUGCUUUGACGAGCCAUGCCAACCAUGACAAAUCGGUUGCGCUGCAUGCACAUAUCGUCCACUCACCAUGUGAGUACCAUGUCUUUCUUAUUUAGUUCCGCAGGAGUAACAGACCGCUCGACCACUCCAUCGCCCACGACCGUUAAAAAAGCAUCAGUCCUCUGUUCCCAGUGUUGGAGGAACCCGACGCCAUCACUCGAAUAAUCCCCAUCAGGCCCGACAUCGUCUACCCUGGGGGUCGGAACCCUCAAGUUCUAAAGGUGGGGCUAAUGAUGGACGUGGACAAGAAGUGAGGCUGGAACAAAUCUUCAGAGACAAGCUUUUGUGAGAAGAUUUUAGCUUGACUUGGCUCUCAUCCUCAAGUUGGCAGCUGUGAUGUUUCUGCUCAGUCGGAUGGAUAAGAACAGAAACUUAUGCUUCGGAUGCUGUGUGCCUCACUGGUGUACCUAUAUAGAACUAUAGCUCUUCCCCCCUUACAAGAUGGCUUCAACAAGCAGGAGCACCUACUCAGCCUCAAUAUGUCAAUAUGGGACAUGGCUUUCCUGGUGGCCAUGAUGAUGGGAAUAAUCCUUAAACUGGCAUCUACUAUAAAGAACUCAGGAGUUGAGCUGCAGAACCAGAUUCAACUCGCAGAAGACCAUAUUGCUGGAUUAUUGUGAAAGCGAACCAAGUGCCUGUCACUGGUUUAGUGAUCCUCUCGUUUGCCAGGUUUUCAUCACAAUGAUUAUGCUGAGAGACCAGAGCUAAGACAAGACAAGCAUCUUUAAAAGGCAAGUUCUUCUUUACUAAUUAACUUACUUCUUGUGAAUACUUUUGCGCUCUUAUCUACUUCUAUCAGCAAUUCCAUCCUUUUGACUUUUAUCUUAAGAUUAUAUAUUAUUUUGAUCUCCUCUAGUUAGCAAGGAUGGAUUUUGUGGCUCCACCAGUACAAGUAUGAUAUAAUUCGACCACGUUAUAAUGUCUCAUCAGAGUGAUCUGCAUCUACUAAUACAUCUGUGAGUGGUAACGCCAAUAUAAUGGUGUUGAAAUGAAAAUUUUAGUCUAGUAUAGGGUCUACGUGGACUUCAUUCUGUUUUCCCAUGCGUGGGCACCGCAUAUUAUAGAUUGGUCCACAUAACAUUUAGGCUUCUGAUCAUGAUGUGUGGCGGAUCAGAUAGGAUGUCUGUUGUUUAUUGUGAGUGAAGAUUAUGAUCUUGAUAGUGUUACAGGACAUGAGUUAGAUGAGUUGCUACCAUAGUCUCAUAGUAUAGUUACCAAGAUCGG